RNAcentral lists this ribosomal RNA (782 nucleotides) under uncultured Enterobacteriaceae bacterium. RNAcentral describes it as "bacterial SSU rRNA". It matches the Rfam family "Bacterial small subunit ribosomal RNA", at positions 717 to 1502 of the family's 1533-position model. The record is from RNAcentral. Lineage: Bacteria; Pseudomonadati; Pseudomonadota; Gammaproteobacteria; Enterobacterales; Enterobacteriaceae.
GAAGGCGGCCUUCUGGACAGUACUGACGCUGAGAUGCGAAAGCGUGGGGAGCAAACAGGAUUAGAUACCUGGUAGUCCACGCUGUAAACGAUGUCGAUUUGGAGUUUGUUGCCUAGAGUGAUGGGCUCCGAAGCUAACGCGAUAAAUCGACCGCUGGGGAGUACGGCCGCAAGGUUAAAACUCAAAUGAAUUGACGGGGGCCCGCACAAGCGGUGGAGCAUGUGGUUUAAUUCGAUGCAACGCGAAGAACCUUACCUGGUCUUGACAUCCAUAGAAUUCUGCAGGGAUGUGGGAGUGCCUUCGGGAACUAUGAGACAGGUGCUGCAUGGCUGUCGUCAGCUCGUGUUGUGAAAUGUUGGGUUAAGUCCCGCAACGAGCGCAACCCUUAUUCUUUGUUGCCAGCGAUUUGGUCGGGAACUCAAAGGAGACUGCCGUUGAUAAAGCGGAGGAAGGUGGGGACGACGUCAAGUCAUCAUGGCCCUUACGACCAGGGCUACACACGUGCUACAAUGGCGUAUACAAAGGGAAGCGAAGGUGCGAGCUGGAGCGGAUCUCAUAAAGUACGUCUAAGUUCGGAUUGGAGUCUGCAACUCGACUCCAUGAAGUCGGAAUCGCUAGUAAUCGUAGAUCAGAAUGCUACGGUGAAUACGUUCCCGGGCCUUGUACACACCGCCCGUCACACCAUGGGAGUGGGUUGCACCAGAAGUAGAUAGCUUAACCGCGAGGGGGGCGUUUACCACGGUGUGAUUCAUGACUGGGGUGAAGUCGUAACAAGGUAACCA